Molecule: ribosomal RNA, 250 nt
Filed under: uncultured bacterium
Lineage: Bacteria
Description: partial 16S ribosomal RNA
Rfam family: Bacterial small subunit ribosomal RNA
Source: RNAcentral
UACGAAGGGGGCUAGCGUUGCUCGGAAUUACUGGGCGUAAAGCGCACGUAGGCGGCUUUCUAAGUCGGGGGUGAAAUCCUGGAGCUCAACUCCAGAACUGCCUUCGAUACUGGAGCUUGAGUCCGGGAGAGGUGAGUGGAACUGCGAGUGUAGAGGUGAAAUUCGUAGAUAUUCGCAAGAACACCAGUGGCGAAGGCGGCUCACUGGCCCGGUACUGACGCUGAGGUGCGAAAGCGUGGGGAGCAAACAG